CGGUUCAUCUCCUGGAGCCUUCGAUCCAGGAAAUCCUCUCGACUGUGAGUCUCAAGGGUCUUCUGGCAGAAUGGAGGUAGAGAUCUUUCAGGAGUAGAAUCAUGAUCUGAUUAAGGGCUCUCCACCCUCAGAUUCAUCUUUCCAGGAAAGAUGGGGCGAUUGGCCCAAGUGGCCCAUCCUACUGCCAGAUUUUGGAGUUCCGAUGAUGUUCUCUCCGAUCGUACUAUGCCUGCGGCUGUUGCUGCUACUACUGCAUGGCCUGCACUGCUUCAGUGAGGCCUCUGACCUGCUGAACUAGUAGGUCGAAUUGCUCCAUCCCAACCAUCGUUGCCAGAGGAGGAGGAGGAACCUGGGAAACUGGAGGUGAGGUCGGAGCCUGAGAUCUGGCCGCGGAGGCCGUGG
This 402-nucleotide long non-coding RNA is filed under the name Elaeis guineensis (African oil palm). RNAcentral's name for it is "long non-coding RNA (EGUI_LNC061414)". The record is from RNAcentral. Lineage: Eukaryota; Viridiplantae; Streptophyta; Magnoliopsida; Arecales; Arecaceae.